AGAAAGUUACAGUUUACAGUUCAUUUUCUUGUCAAAUAUCUAAUAUUUCUUUUGGCACAGAAUGGUUAUAGAAUCUUUAGGUAGAGUGUUUACUGCGGUUCGCCAAGCAGGACCCCAUUACUGGCAAAUGAAGGAACUAUUCGUUGCGUUUGGCAUCACGGCAUAUAUCGUAUGGAGGAUACCCGUCACAGAUGAAAUGAGAGCUCAGUCAAAAAACUUACAUCCUGAUUACUGAUGGGAAUAUGAUGUCAGCUUGACAACUUCUAGCUUACUAAACAGUAGUCUAAACUGUAAAUGUAGCACGGAUGCGGGUAGUAUUUUGUCACAACGAAAUGCGUCUUUACAGUUCGUCUAUUACAUUCAUCUACAUCAGCA
Molecule: long non-coding RNA, 375 nt
Organism: Corticium candelabrum
Lineage: Eukaryota; Metazoa; Porifera; Homoscleromorpha; Homosclerophorida; Plakinidae
Exons: 3
Source: RefSeq, a predicted model, not a curated record